GCAGAUGUGGUGGAAUUGGUAGACACGCUAGCUUCAGGUGCUAGUGGCCUAAAGGUCGUGGGAGUUCAAGUCUCCUCAUCUGCA
This 84-nucleotide transfer RNA is filed under the name Psychromonas ingrahamii 37. It matches the Rfam family "tRNA". Rfam says of the family: Transfer RNA (tRNA) molecules are approximately 80 nucleotides in length. Their secondary structure includes four short double-helical elements and three loops (D, anti-codon, and T loops). The record is from Rfam by way of RNAcentral. Lineage: Bacteria; Pseudomonadati; Pseudomonadota; Gammaproteobacteria; Alteromonadales; Psychromonadaceae.